AAAUGACUCUCGGCAACGGAUAUCUCGGCUCUUGCAUCGAUGAAGAACGUAGCGAAAUGCGAUACUUGGUGUGAAUUGCAGAAUCCCGUGAACCAUCGAGUCUUUGAACGCAAGUUGCGCCCGAAGCCACUAGGUUGAGGGCACGCCUGCCUGGGUGUCACA
Molecule: ribosomal RNA, 162 nt
Filed under: Indigofera linnaei
Lineage: Eukaryota; Viridiplantae; Streptophyta; Magnoliopsida; Fabales; Fabaceae
Description: 5.8S ribosomal RNA
Rfam family: 5.8S ribosomal RNA
About the family: 5.8S ribosomal RNA (5.8S rRNA) is a component of the large subunit of the eukaryotic ribosome. It is transcribed by RNA polymerase I as part of the 45S precursor that also contains 18S and 28S rRNA.
Source: RNAcentral